ACGCUCGACACCUACGGGAAGCAGCAGUGGGGAAUAUUGCACAAUGGGGGAAACCCUGAUGCAGCGACGCCGCGUGAGCGAAGAAGUAUUUCGGUAUGUAAAGCUCUAUCAGCAGGGAAGAAACUGACGGUACCUGACUAAGAAGCACCGGCUAAAUACGUGCCAGCAGCCUAAUCUGAGCGGGCUGGCAAGGC
This 194-nucleotide ribosomal RNA is filed under the name uncultured bacterium. RNAcentral's name for it is "partial 16S ribosomal RNA". It matches the Rfam family "Bacterial small subunit ribosomal RNA", at positions 326 to 539 of the family's 1533-position model. The record is from RNAcentral.